UACGAAGUCGGUGAGCAUUUGCCUAUGCCCAAACCUCAUGUGAUUUGUGUAUAGGUGGGCACAAAAGGGAAGCCUCGAGCGCGUCCAGUUCAAGGCGUAUGAUCGACGUGUUGAUUCCGUACUGUAAUUAUACGAGAUCCAUGUUAAUCGUGGCGACCCUGCGAACCGUCUAGCAGCCGAUCGAUGGAAAGGGGGAGCAAUGCGCACGAGACGGCAGCGGCCGCGGAGCCGGUCGCCGGCCUUCGAAAGGUCGUCUGGAUCCGGCAGAUGCUCCGACGCUGGCAUUCCACCGGGGUCGACACGGCCGCGAGAAGAUCCGAUGCCAGCGGCGAGCUCGACGCCGCGGCUCAUCAUCGCGCCGAGGUCGACACAACCACAGACGACAAGAAACCGUCGCUUGGGGAGACGGAGCCGUCGACGCCGGGUGCACCCGUGGACGUCCCGCGGGGGUGCUGCGCGGUAUACGUGGGCGCGGAGCGUCGGCGGUUCGUGGUGCCGACGGCGUACCUGGGGAUGCCGGUGUUCCGGCGGCUGCUGGAGAAGGCGGAGGAGGAGUUCGAGUUCAACUACGCCGGCGGCGCGGUGACCAUCCCCUGCGACACGGAGGCGUUCAAGUAUAUCCUCGUCGUCAUGGACAAACACCAGAAGGGCCUCGUCGUCAUGGACAAACACCAGAAGGGCCUCGUCGUCGUCGACCACGAAGGGAACCCAAGGGAGGCAGCUACUGAGUGAAUGAAUGAUUCGUAGAAGAAUCGACACUGAAAUUCCGAUAUGAUAGAAGGUGACCGGAGGUACAUCCAUACUUAGAGUUUUCAGGACGAGAUCUUUUGGGCGUUACGGAGUACUGUCUGGUCGUGAGAUCGCGAUACUUUUCUGUUGCGUCCAGACACAUAUUCGACAGGAAAUGGUCAGAACUGCCAUCCUCAUCCCUGGCUCUCUCAAGCGAUCCCCUCUUGGCGAUGCGUCCGCACCACUGCUACUGCCGCCCCCGCUGAUGCCGGCCAUCCUCGGCGCAGCCGAUCUCUAGAGAGGCUCCGCCUCAAACUCCUCCUCCUCCGGUUCUCCUACUUCUCGAUGUUGCCCUGCACCUACUUGUGCCCCCACGGCGAACCCUAGCCCCUGCUUGACGACCGUGCGCUCCCGCAUGUGCAACGGCGUAGGCACCCUGCCAAGGCCAAGCACACGUCGUCGCCUACCACGAGGUCCGACUGGAGCACGCACUCGGAUGCCUGUGGCUUCGCCAGAGCAAGAUAUCCAGAGUAUUACAUUUGGUCAUACAAAGAAUGCACAUUUAUUUAUCGGAUUCUUGGUGUUCAAUCGUGAUGCUUGUUGUUGCAUCCUGACUAAGGUGUCAAAGAGAAAUCGAGCCAAAUUCGCGCUUAUAUUUGUUUUCUCACUUUUAUUUAAAAUUUGAGACUAAAUUUAAAAUAGAAAUAACAAAAUGAACUAUAUGUUAGAUUUUGGCAGGAUCCACCUUCCCAACAUGCUCGAUAAGAAACAAUGGUAAUGGCGUAGUGUUUAAUGGUUGGUGCACGUGACCAUGUCUAGUAAACAAGACAUUUCGAGACAUGACACUAAGCCACGCUGGCUCCCGAUUGUUCUUCACGCGUUCUCGCUAAGAAAAACAAGAACUGUGAUCGAGGGUAUUAGUUUGGAUGCCCUCUUUUGUCCCAUAUCCAGCUGAGGUGAUGCUGGAGGAGGCACAUUGGCUAGCUGUCGCACGAGAGUGUCUCGCCGAACAGUUCCGCAUGAGAGGCCUUGGAAACUCCAUCGCUAGUGACCGACGCUCAAAAGCAUGGCCACGAGGUGAUUUCGCCGAUCUCAUCGUCCUCAUCACCAACGAUCAAGUGUCUAAAUCCUCCUCCUGGAAAUCUAGAUAUUCCAACAACCUAUCAAUCUUCAGGAUCUUUGAUUGUUAUGUCGACACUGCCAUUUCCAACGAGGCAUCCAGAGGCUUAGUUGUCAGCAAUGUUGCCGAUGGUGUUGGUGUAGGCACUAUCGUAACAGUAAAAAGCCGAAAACCCUAUCGCCAAGAGACCGGAGCAGACGGAGGGUAGAAACCCUCCAGUGCUCUAACGGAUGUAAGGUGUCCGAUGGAGUUCGAUCCAGGAUCGGAGAUAGACUUCUGGCCAGACACAUCGCCAGGAAGGACAAGAAACCCUAGAUGUUGCCACGGGGAAGUUAUGGUUUGCUAACACACAAAUGCUUAUCACAUGGUCUUGUUGUACUAUAAUAGAGCUGGUCGAUAUUUAUGAUGAAACUCAAUGCAAAAAUAUCUCAUGAAAUCAGUUUCUAGCUACCAUGAGAUACUACUCGCGUACAUUAUUAACUAUUUGAAACAUCACAUACAUAUAUGACAGUAGACCAACCAUGUAUAUUCUAUCUCUCCAUAGUCGAGGAAAGUCACCAGCUUUCGCUCGAUUACCAAGUGUAAGCGAAUAGACAACGGAAAGCUUCGGAACACAUGAUCCAUUUUCCAUGUUUAAAUUGACUACGAUCUACAUCGCUUUGUUAUAUCGCAUGGCCACACACUUCCUGUCCACAAUCAUGAUUCAAAAGAUGUCGCAUGCUAAGAGCAGAUAGUGUUGCCACGAUAGUAGGAGCAGGAGACAUCUGGAAAUGGACACUUGGUACCAAAGAAAACUCAAGAUAAGGAAGAGGAACAGUGAGCGCAGCAAGGCGGAGCCAGAGACAGUACAAGUCCGGUUCUAGCCAGUACUAGCUUAGUGUUGCUAGUCACCCGUUGCUAGUCACCUCGGUUUUUCAUAUUUCUAGCACUGGAAUUUAGCACAUGCACAUUGAGGUUCAGCUGCAGGGCCGGUGCUACCGCACCGGUAGCACCAGGCUGGCUCCGCCUCAGGCGGCAACAAUAGGGUCGAUGAUGAGCAGGAGUCUAGGUUGGAGCCGCAUACGACGGGAGUACCCGUGGACGUGCCGAACGGGUGUUGCGCAGUGUUCAUAGGUACGCAGAAGCAGUGGUUGGUACCGUCGAUGAGGAGUUCCAGCGGCUGAAGGAGACAUCACACUAGGAGUUGAGAGCUACAUGUGCAUCCUUCAAGUGCCUUUUUAUAUCGCCGUAUACAGAAACCUUCAGGUUCUCGCCGUUAGCAUUCCGUUCCACACAGGUCGGCCAGGAGCGUGCCUAGUUGUGUACAUGCGCAACCCGCCUGACGCGUAGCCAUACGUCCUCUUAGUCCAGACAAGGCCAGCGGCCACGAAGUUGAAAUCUGGCAAUUUUUUGCAGGAGGGUGGUAUGGUAUGAUGGAGCUGUAGGAAUUUGUGGCUUACAUAUUUUAAUAUUCACUACAUUGUUAUACUCCUACAAUUAGAACCUCGGUGUGGAAUAUUUAUGGAAAGAACAGGGAAUAUUUGAAGUUCAAGGAUAAUAUGAUGGGCAUUUUGUACAUAGGCAGUACUCUGAAUGCAGAACAUGGAUUUUCAUCCUUCAAUGCUAAAGACAUAUGCAAAAAGGUUAGGGAGUACAAUCAAUCGAAGUUCACACAACAAAAUAUGAUUGAAAAGAGUAUCCAGCAAUCUAACCAUUUUUCUCAUGAAGCUUCCAAGAGUAGAGGUUUGAAGACGUCACAUGAUCUACAAUUUGUUUGAUAAAUUACUUCGCUUGCUUAUUACUCUCCCGGUUUCGACCACUAAUGCGGAGCAUACAUUCUCUAGCUUGAAAAAUGUAAAGAAAAGAUUGCACAACAAAAUGGAAGAUAGUUAUCUUGCAAAUAGCUUGCUGCUACAAGUAGAACAAGAAAUUGAUACACAAUAUAGCUAUGAAGAUAUAAUGGUGAACUUCAAGACU
RNA transcript from Lolium perenne, 3805 nucleotides. RefSeq lists it as uncharacterized. The record is from RefSeq and is a predicted model, not a curated record. Lineage: Eukaryota; Viridiplantae; Streptophyta; Magnoliopsida; Poales; Poaceae.